UCAUGUUUGACAUUUUCCAUAGAUGUUUUUUCAUUGUAUGACCAGUGCAUUUCUUAUAAGUGUCAAACUUGAUAGUAAGUGACUAAAGUUUGGUCAAGGAUGUAGCACCAAAUAUUUAUUGCUAAUGCAGAGCACAUGUCCUUAGCUAGGUCAUACUUUUUGAACUCUCUCAUGAUGUCAUUUUCCACGCUGCUCAGUAACGUAAUGCGAGGGAGAGAGUUUUUUUUCU
Molecule: long non-coding RNA, 229 nt
Filed under: Carica papaya (papaya)
Lineage: Eukaryota; Viridiplantae; Streptophyta; Magnoliopsida; Brassicales; Caricaceae
Description: long non-coding RNA (CPAP_LNC000400)
Source: RNAcentral